UACGUAGGCAGCGAGCGUUGUUCGGAAUUACUGGGCGUAAAGAGUGUGUAGGCGGUGCUCCAAGUCUGGUGUGAAAUCUCCCGGCUUAACUGGGAGGGUGCAUUAGAAACUGGAAUGCUAGAGGAUGGGAGAGGUAGGCGGAAUUCCUGGUGUAGCGGUGAAAUGCGUAGAUAUCAGGAGGAACACCUGUGGUGUAGACAGCUUACUGGACCAUUUCUGACGCUGAGACACGAAAGCGUGGGUAGCAAACAGG
This 253-nucleotide ribosomal RNA is filed under the name uncultured bacterium. RNAcentral's name for it is "partial 16S ribosomal RNA". It matches the Rfam family "Bacterial small subunit ribosomal RNA", at positions 524 to 776 of the family's 1533-position model. The record is from RNAcentral.